CUCUCGGCAACGGAUAUCUCGGCUCUCGCAUCGAUGAAGAACGUAGCGAAAUGCGAUACUUGGUGUGAAUUGCAGAAUCCCGUGAACCAUCGAGUCUUUGAACGCAAGUUGCGCCCGAGGCCACCCGGCCGAGGGCACGUCUGCCUGGGCGUCACGCCACCCAU
This 164-nucleotide ribosomal RNA is filed under the name Caryodaphnopsis tonkinensis. Its description in RNAcentral is "5.8S ribosomal RNA". It matches the Rfam family "5.8S ribosomal RNA". From Rfam's summary of the family: 5.8S ribosomal RNA (5.8S rRNA) is a component of the large subunit of the eukaryotic ribosome. It is transcribed by RNA polymerase I as part of the 45S precursor that also contains 18S and 28S rRNA. Functionally, it is thought that 5.8S rRNA may be involved in ribosome translocation. Lineage: Eukaryota; Viridiplantae; Streptophyta; Magnoliopsida; Laurales; Lauraceae. The record is from RNAcentral. RNAcentral also lists the same sequence under 1 other name.